This 453-nucleotide ribosomal RNA is filed under the name uncultured fungus. RNAcentral describes it as "eukaryotic LSU rRNA". The stretch from base 124 to 275 matches the Rfam family "5.8S ribosomal RNA". Lineage: Eukaryota; Fungi. The record is from RNAcentral.
AUCAUUAACGAAUGGCUUUUUUGGCCUUCGACUUCAAACCUGUGGAAGCGAGAUGUGCUUUGGCGCCAAGUCGCCUCAUUUAUGCCAAAAAGCAUUUGUCUGAAUCAAAAAAACGAGAAUCAAAACUUUCAACAAAGGAUCUCUUGGCUCUUGCAUCGAUAAAGAACGCAGCGAAGCGCGAAAUGUAGUGUGAAUCGCAGAACAUUGUGAAUCAUCGAAUCUUUGAACGCACAUUGCGCCUCCCUUUGCCGGGAGGCAUGCCUGUCUGAGCGUCAUUUAACUCAUACCUUUUUGGUGUGUUGGGCCUCGCCCUAGCGGCGUAGCCUCAAAGUCAUUGGUCUAAGAGCGGACAAGAUCCAUUGGGACCGACCGUUUGGGACCGUAAACAUCUGACUUGACCUCAGAUCAGGUAGGGCUACCGCCUGAACUUAAGCAUAUCAAUAAGCGGAGGAA